Molecule: ribosomal RNA, 483 nt
Filed under: uncultured Pseudomonas sp.
Lineage: Bacteria; Pseudomonadati; Pseudomonadota; Gammaproteobacteria; Pseudomonadales; Pseudomonadaceae
Description: bacterial SSU rRNA
Rfam family: Bacterial small subunit ribosomal RNA
Source: RNAcentral
AGCGGCGGACGGGUGAGUAAUGCCUAGGAAUCUGCCUGGUAGUGGGGGACAACGUUUCGAAAGGAACGCUAAUACCGCAUACGUCCUACGGGAGAAAGCAGGGGACCUUCGGGCCUUGCGCUAUCAGAUGAGCCUAGGUCGGAUUAGCUAGUUGGUGGGGUAAUGGCUCACCAAGGCGACGAUCCGUAACUGGUCUGAGAGGAUGAUCAGUCACACUGGAACUGAGACACGGUCCAGACUCCUACGGGAGGCAGCAGUGGGGAAUAUUGGACAAUGGGCGAAAGCCUGAUCCAGCCAUGCCGCGUGUGUGAAGAAGGUCUUCGGAUUGUAAAGCACUUUAAGUUGGGAGGAAGGGCAGUAAGUUAAUACCUUGCUGUUUUGACGUUACCGACAGAAUAAGCACCGGCUAACUCUGUGCCAGCAGCCGCGGUAAUACAGAGGGUGCAAGCGUUAAUCGGGAUUACUGGGCGUAAAGCGCGCGUA